UGCCCGGAGAAAUCCGGAUUAAUACCGCAUAAGACCACACGAUGGCAUCAUCGAGGGGUCAAACAUUUAUGGGACAGGGAUGGGCAUGCGUGCCAUUAGCUAGUUGGCGGGGUAACGGCCCACCAAGGCGACGAUGGCUAGGGGAUCUGAGAGGAUGACCCCCCACACUGGUACUGAGACACGGACCAGACUCCUACGGGAGGCAGCAGUAAGGAAUAUUGGUCAAUGGGCGCAAGCCUGAACCAGCCAUGCCGCGUGCAGGAAGACGGCCCUCUGGGUUGUAAACUGCUUUUAUUCGGGAAUAAACCUAUCUACGUGUAGAUAGCUGAAUGUACCGAAGGAAUAAGGAUCGGCUAACUCCGUGCCAGCAGCCGCGGUAAUACGGAGGAUCCAAGCGUUAUCCGGAUUUAUUGGGUUUAAAGGGUGCGUAGGCGGCCUGUUAAGUCAGGGGUGAAAGACGGUAGCUCAACUAUCGCAGUGCCCUUGAUACUGAUGGGCUUGAAUGGACUAGAGGUAGGCGGAAUGUGACAAGUAGCGGUGAAAUGCAUAGAUAUGUCACAGAACACCGAUUGCGAAGGCAGCUUACUAUGGUCUUAUUGACGCUGAGGCACGAAAGCGUGGGGAUCAAACAGGAUUAGAUACCCUGGUAGUCCACGCCCUAAACGAU
Molecule: ribosomal RNA, 667 nt
Filed under: bacterium 071021-ONK-SLIME-CHAB4
Lineage: Bacteria
Description: bacterial SSU rRNA
Rfam family: Bacterial small subunit ribosomal RNA
Source: RNAcentral